Molecule: ribosomal RNA, 803 nt
Filed under: Hanseniaspora guilliermondii
Lineage: Eukaryota; Fungi; Ascomycota; Saccharomycetes; Saccharomycodales; Saccharomycodaceae
Description: SSU rRNA
Rfam family: Eukaryotic small subunit ribosomal RNA
Source: RNAcentral
GGGGCUUCUGACGAGGUCUUCAAUUUCUGCCCUAUCAACUUUUGAUGGUAGGAUAGUGGCCUACCAUGGUUUCAACGGGUAACGGGGAAUAAGGGUUCGAUUCCGGAGAGGGAGCCUGAGAAACGGCUACCACAUCCAAGGAAGGCAGCAGGCGCGCAAAUUACCCAAUCCUAAUUCAGGGAGGUAGUGACAAUAAAUAACGAUACAGGGCUUUAUGUCUUGUAAUUGGAAUGAGUACAAUUUAAAUACCUUAACGAGGAACAAUUGGAGGGCAAGUCUGGUGCCAGCAGCCGCGGUAAUUCCAGCUCCAAUAGCGUAUAUUAAAGUUGUUGCAGUUAAAAAGCUCGUAGUUGAACUUUGGGCUUGGAGAAUCGGUCCAACUUUGUUGUGUACUGUCUUCUCCAGGUCUUUCCUUCUGGUUCUCAUUUGGGGUUUACUCCAUUUGUUGAUCCAGGAUUUUUACUUUGAAAAAAUUAGAGUGUUCAAAGCAGGCGUUUUGCUCGAAUAUAUUAGCAUGGAAUAAUAGAAUAGGACGAUUGGUUCUAUUUUGUUGGUUUCUAGGACCAUCGUAAUGAUUAAUAGGGACGGUCGGGGGCAUCAGUAUUCAGUUGUCAGAGGUGAAAUUCUUGGAUUUACUGAAGACUAACUACUGCGAAAGCAUUUGUCAAGGACGUUUUCAUUAAUCAAGAACGAAAGUUAGGGGAUCGAAGAUGAUCAGAUACCGUCGUAGUCUUAACCAUAAACUAUGCCGACUAGGGAUCGGGCGGUGCCUUUUAUUGGCCACUCGGCACCUUACGAGAAAA